UACGUAGGGUGCGAGCGUUAAUCGGAAUUACUGGGCGUAAAGCGUGCGCAGGCGGUUUGCUAAGACCGAUGUGAAAUCCCCGGGCUCAACCUGGGAACUGCAUUGGUGACUGGCAGGCUAGAGUAUGGCAGAGGGGGGUAGAAUUCCACGUGUAGCAGUGAAAUGCGUAGAGAUGUGGAGGAAUACCGAUGGCGAAGGCAGCCCCCUGGGCUAUAACUGACGCUCAUGCACGAAAGCGUGGGGAGCAAACAGG
This 253-nucleotide ribosomal RNA is filed under the name uncultured bacterium. RNAcentral describes it as "partial 16S ribosomal RNA". It matches the Rfam family "Bacterial small subunit ribosomal RNA", at positions 524 to 776 of the family's 1533-position model. The record is from RNAcentral.